GACGAACGCUGGCGGCGUGCUUAACACAUGCAAGUCGAACGGAAAGGCCCUGCUUUCGUGGGGUGCUCGAGUGGCGAACGGGUGAGUAACACGAGAGUAACCUGCCCUUGACUUUGGGAUAACUUCAGGAAACUGGGGCUAAUACCGGAUAGGAGCUCCUGCUGCAUGGUGGGGGUUGGAAAGUUUCGGCGGUUGGGGAUGGACUCGCGGCUUAUCAGCUUGUUGGUGGGGUAGUGGCUUACCAAGGCUUUGACGGGUAGCCGGCCUGAGAGGGUGACCGGCCACAAUGGGACUGAGAUACGGCCCAGACUCCUACGGGAGGCAGCAGUGGGGAAUAUUGCACAAUGGGCGGAAGCCUGAUGCAGCGACGCCGCGUGCGGGAUGACGGCCUUCGGGUUGUAAACCGCUGUCGCCUGUGACGAAGCGGGAGUGACGGUAAUGGGUAAAGAAGCACCGGCUAACUACGUG
Molecule: ribosomal RNA, 468 nt
Filed under: uncultured bacterium
Lineage: Bacteria
Description: partial 16S ribosomal RNA
Rfam family: Bacterial small subunit ribosomal RNA
Source: RNAcentral